GCUCCCCUAGUAUAUCCAUUACAAUUGACUUCCAAUCUAUAGAGUCUGGUUCAAACCCAGAGAGGAGCA
Molecule: transfer RNA, 69 nt
Filed under: Atrichornis rufescens
Lineage: Eukaryota; Metazoa; Chordata; Aves; Passeriformes; Menuridae
Description: tRNA-Gly
Rfam family: tRNA
About the family: Transfer RNA (tRNA) molecules are approximately 80 nucleotides in length. Their secondary structure includes four short double-helical elements and three loops (D, anti-codon, and T loops).
Source: RNAcentral